This 1157-nucleotide ribosomal RNA is filed under the name uncultured eukaryote. RNAcentral describes it as "bacterial SSU rRNA". It matches the Rfam family "Eukaryotic small subunit ribosomal RNA", at positions 604 to 1831 of the family's 1831-position model. The record is from RNAcentral.
CAUAAGAUGCUGCGUUAAAGCUCGUAGUCGGAUUUUGGGCGAGUGUGGGCUAGCGCUUCUCUGGUCUGAUGGCGUGCGAUCGCCUUUCUGCUUCGAAUCCCGAUGGCGGUGCGCGGCUCUGGGAUGGGUCACUUUACGUUUACUUUGAAAAAUGAUCGUGUUCAGAGCACGCUGUUGCUUGAAUAGAUGGAAUGGAAUAAUGGACUGUACCUUGGUGCUAUUUCAUUGGAUAAGGGACUGGAGUAAUGAUUAAUAUGGACAGUUGGGGCCUUUCAUUUUUCGAUGUCAAAUGCGAGAUUCAUGUAUUUACUAACUAAGAACUUGUGCUUUGGCAUUCAUGUUGGAUGUUUUCAUUGAUCAAAAAUAAGGGAUAAGGGAUCAAAAAAUAUCAUAUACCGCCUAACUCUUAACUAUGAACAAUACCGAUUGGGGAUCAUUGACUGUCCAUUUACGACCUCAUUGGCACCUUGUGAUCAUUCAAAGUUUUUGGGUUCCUGGGGGAGUAGGGGAGCAAGGCUGAAACUUAAAGGAAUUGACCGACGGGAACGGAGCCUAGUGGAGCCUGCGACUUAAUUUGACUCAACUUACCGAAACUUAACAUGUCUGGAAUUGACCGAGAUGGACAGAUUGAAAGCUCUUUCUUGAGUCUAUGGAUGGUGGUGCAUGGCCGUUCUAAUGAUGUGGAUGGAUAUGUCCGGUUAAUUCCGAUAACUUACGAUACCUCCUACUGCUGCCUAGAAAUGCCCAUUUAUAAUGUGUAGCCCGCUUCUUAUAGGGACUAAUCGAGUUCUGAGAAUGUAACAUGGAGGCGAUAACCUGACAUGAUGCCCUUAGAUGUUCUGGACCGUGCGCCCUCUACCCUGAUGGAUGCGAUCAGAUCGAACCUUGACCAACAUGAUCGGAUAUACCUUGGCUAAAGCCAUCUCGAUGGAGAUAUAUAUUUGCAAUUAUUGAUUCUUCAACGAGGAAUUCUUAUCAAGUUGGGGUGAUCACCUCGCUGUGAUUACGUCCCUGCCCCCUUGUACUCCCAGCCCUUGACGCAUACCGAGUGCAUGCUCCGGUGAAGUGUUCUUUAUGGCGGCGAGGUAACUUCUCUCAGUCAGAUCUUUUAUAAGACUGUAUAAUUCGAAGCAAGGAUACGCAGAUGAAGCUUUCCA